GGCGGCGUGCUUAACACAUGCAAGUCGAACGAUGACGCCCUUCGGGGUGGAUUAGUGGCGAACGGGUGAGUAACACGUGGGCAAUCUGCCCUUCACUCUGGGACAAGCCCUGGAAACGGGGUCUAAUACCGGAUAUCACUCCUGCAGGCAUCUGCGGGGGUCGAAAGCUCCGGCGGUGAAGGAUGAGCGGCGCGGCCUAUCAGCUUGUUGGUGAGGUAAUGGCUCACCAAGGCGACGACGGGUAGCCGGCCUGAGAGGGCGACCGGCCACACUGGGACUGAGACACGGCUCAGACUCCUACGGGAGGCAGCAGUGGGGAAUAUUGCACAAUGGGCGAAAGCCUGAUGCAGCGACGCCGCGUGAGGGAUGACGGCCUUCGGGUUGUAAACCUCUUUCAGCAGGGAAGAAGCGAGAGUGACGGUACCUGCAGAAGAAGCGCCGGCUAACUACGUGCCAGCAGCCGCGGUAUUACGUAGGGCGCAAGCGUUGUCCGGAAUUAUUGGGCGUAAAGAGCUCGUAGGCGGCUUGUCGCGUCGGAUGUGAUAGCCCGGGGCUUAACCCCGGGUCUGCAUUCGAUACGGGCAGGCUAGAGUUCGGUAGGGGAGAUCGGAAUUCCUGGUGUAGCGGUGAAAUGCGCAGAUAUCAGGAGGAACACCGGUGGGGAAGGCGGAUCUCUGGGCCGAUACUGACGCUGAGGAGCGUCUCUUCGAGCGGUAGAGUAGUUGCUUCUCUUGACAGCGUCGGACGGCGUGAGUAAUGCCUAUCUAAUCUGCCUGGUAGCGGGGGAUAACGUUCGUUAACGGACGCUACAUACCGCAUACGUCCUACGCGAUAAAGCAGGUGACUUCGGCCCUUGCGCA
Molecule: ribosomal RNA, 860 nt
Filed under: Streptomyces sp. DPTB 16
Lineage: Bacteria; Bacillati; Actinomycetota; Actinomycetes; Kitasatosporales; Streptomycetaceae
Description: bacterial SSU rRNA
Rfam family: Bacterial small subunit ribosomal RNA
Source: RNAcentral